Molecule: long non-coding RNA, 3729 nt
Filed under: Salmo salar (Atlantic salmon)
Lineage: Eukaryota; Metazoa; Chordata; Actinopteri; Salmoniformes; Salmonidae
Description: lncRNA (ENSSSAG00000088205.1)
Source: RNAcentral
CCAACAUCGUUUUAGAGAAUUUGGCAAUACGUACAACCGGCCUCACAACCGCAAACCAUGUGUAACCACUCCAGCCCAUAGCUGGCUUCUUCACCUGCGGAAUCGUCUGAGACCAGCCACCCGGACAGCUGAUGAAACUGUGGGUUUGCACAUCCAAAGAAUUUCUGCACAAACUGUCAGGGAAGCUCAUCUGCGUGCUCGUCGUCCUCACCAGGGUCUUGACCUGACUGCAGUUUGGCGUCGUGACCAACUUCAGUGGGAAAAUGUUCACCUUCCAUGGCCACUGGCAUGCUGGAGAAGUGUGCGCUUCACGGAUGAAUCCCAGUUUCAACUGUACCGGGCAGAUGGCAGACAGUGUAUGGCAUUGUGUGGGCGAGCGGUAUGCUGAUAACAACAUUGUGAACAGAAUGCACCAUGGUGGCGGUGGGGUUAUGGUGUGGGCAGGCAUAAGCUAUGGACUAUAUUUUGCAUUUUAUCGAUGGAAAUUUGAAUGCACAGAGAUAGUGACGAGAUUCAUCCACCGUCAUCACCUUAUGUUUAAGCAUUAUAAUGAACGUCCUCAUGUCACAAGGACCUGUACACAAUUCCUGGAAGCUGAAAAUGUCCCAGACCUGUACACAAUUCCUGGAAGCUGAAAAUCCCCAGACAUGACACCCAUUGAGUUUGGGAAGCUCUGGAUUGACGUGUAUGACAGCAUGUUCCAGUUUACGCCAAUAUCCAGCAAAUUCGCAGAGCCAUUGAAGAGAAGUGGGACAACAUUCCACAGGCCACAAUCAACAACCUGAUCAACACUAUGCGAAGGUAUCUGUGACCAACAGAUGUAUAUCUGUAUUCCCAGUCAUGUGAAAUCCAUAGACUAGGGCCUAAUGAAUUUAUUUUAAUUGACUGAUUUCCUUAUUUAACCUGUUAUGGAUAGGGGGCAGUAUUUUCACGGCCGGAUAAAAAACGUACCCGAUUUAAUCUGUUUAUUACUCCUGCCCAGAAACUAGAAUAUGCAUAUAAUUGUUUGGUUUGGAUAGAAAACACCCUAAAGUUUCUAAAACUGUUUGAAUGGUGUCUGUGAGUAUACCAGAACUCAUAUGGCAGGCCAAAACCUGAGAAGAUUCCAAACAGGAAGUGCCCUCUGACCAUUUCUUGGUCUUCUAUACCCUCUUUAUUGAAAACAGAGGAUCUCUGCUGUAACGUGACACUUUCUAAGGCUCCCAUAGGCUCUCAGAAGGCGCCAGAACGUUGAAUGAUGACUUUGCAGUCCAUAGCUGAAAAACAGUAGCGCAUUUGGAUAGUGGUCGAUCUGAGAACAAUGAGACGGGUGCGCGCGUGCAUGUGAAGAGUCCAUUUUGCAUUUUCAGUCUUUGAACGAAAACAACGACUCCCGGUCGGAAUAUUAUCGCUAUUUUACGAGAAAAAUUGCAUAAAAAUUGAUUUUAAACAGCGUUUGGCAUGCUUCGAAGUACGGUAAUGGAAUAUUUUUAAAUUUUUUGUCACGAUACGCGCCGGCGCGUCACCCUUCGUUACCCUUUGGAUAGUGUCUUGAACGCAAGAACAAAACGCCGCUAUUUGGAUAUAACUAUGGAUUAUUUGGAACCAAACCAACAUUUGUUGUUGAAGUAGAAGUCCUGGGAGUGCAUUCUGACGAAGAACAGCAAAGGUAAUCCAAUUUUUCUUAUAGUAAAUCUGAGUUUGGUGAGUACCAAACUUGGUGGGUGUCAAAAUAGCUAGCCUGUGAUGGCCGGGCUAUCUACUCAGAAUAUUGCAAAAUGUGCUUUCACCGAAAAGCUAUUUUAAAAUCGGACACCGCGAUUGCAUAAAGGAGUUCUGUAUCUAUAAUUCUUAAAAUAAUUGUUAUGUAUUUUGUGAACGUUUAUCGUGAGUAAUUUAGUAAAUUCACCGGAAGUGUUCGGUGGGAAUGCUAGUUCUGAACGUCACAUGCUAAUGUAAAAGGCUGGUUUUUGAUAUAAAUAUGAACUUGAUUGAACAAAACAUGCAUGUAUUGUAUAACAUAAUGUCCUAGGAGUGUCAUCUGAUGAAGAUCAUCAAAGGUUAGUGCUGCAUUUAGCUGUGGUUUUGGUUUUUGUGACAUUAUAUGGUAGCUUGAAAAAUGGGUGUCUGAUUAUUUCUGGCUGGGUACUCUCCUGACAUAAUCUAAUGUUUUGCUUUCGUUGUAAAGCAUUUUUGAAAUUGGACAGUGUGGUUAGAUAAAGGAGAGUAUUGUCUUUAAAAUGGUGUAAAAUAGUCAUAUGUUUGAAAAAUGGCAGUUUUCGGAUUUUCGAGGAGUUUGUAUUUCGCGCCACGCCCUAUCAUUGGAUAUUGGAGCGGUGUUCCGCUAGCGGAACGUCUAGAUGUAAGAGGUUAAACUGUAACUCAUUAAAAUCUUAGAAAUUGUUGCAUGAUGCGUUUAUAUUUUUGUUCAAUGUAAAUGGUGGGAGACAGAUUUACGUUUACUAUUUUACGUCUACCCCUGAGUCAAGGUUGACAGGUCAGUAAUGCCUGGGGUCACAUUACAUGGCUAAGUCAAUAAACUGGAUGCACACAGUACAGGGAGACAGUGAGAGAGUGGUCUCUGUAGCUGACCGAAAGUCAUUGGGAACUUUGUUUCACCUUUGCAGUCUUGAUUUCAAUUUCAAGUUCGAACAAUCAUAUACUUGUCAAAUACUUAACCUGGAAGGCAUGCAAAAACAUUGCAGAGAGGAUCAAAUAUAGGCCAUAUGAUGAGCUUCAGAUCCAUGUGACUGGUUGAAGUCUUAGGAUUGACAUACUGUUUGGUGCUGGCUACGCCAGUCAAAUCCUUCUCCAAAGGGAGAAGGGGACUAUUUUCAACUGGUUCCUUUUGAAGUUUCCUAAAACUAAUGACCAGACUGGGGAGUUGAAGCUGCCCAGUUUGAGGCUGCUAUGUCAUUUAAUGCAGCCCUACAUGGUGGGCUAGUACGAUGGCCGUGAAGAGCAAAGUAGCUUUUAAGAUUUUUAAUAGAGCAGCUCUACAGGGUGUAACAAGAUUACUCAUAAUGCUUUAGCCAGAAUGCAUCGGAGGACCAUUUCCUAAGUGCACAUUUUCAUGAGUAGUCUUGUGUCGCAGGAAAUGAGCUGAUGAUUGGCUGGUAUUUAUGCUAUGACGUCAUGGUAUGUGAUAAUGGAUCAUUGAAGAGUCAGAAUGUACUCAUUGACUGCGUUUACACAGGCAGCCCAAUUCUGAUCUUUUUACACUUACUGGUCUUUUGCCUGAUCAGAUCAGCUCUUUUGACAAUAAUUGGGCAAAAGAUAAGAAUUGGGCUGCCUGUGUAAAUACAGCAUAGUGUCAAUAGUGGAACUUUUCUACACUUUGUUGAGGAUAAAGCGCAUGAUGAUAUAUCAAGAUGUCACAGGUGUGAUGAAUGCCCUAAUUUAUUAUUAUGUAUGUGCUCCUAAUUUAGUGUUUGUUAAUUGAUUGAUUAAUUGAGACCUGUGAUUACCUCCCUGUUUUUCUUUCUUUCGUUUGAGGUGUGGCCACCCAGGGAAAGGUGCAGGUGAGAGGGAAGCGGUGGCAGACUGAAAAAAAACAAAUCUCUGGAGAGACCUGAAAAUAGCUGUGCAGCAACGCUCCCCAUCCAACCUGACAGAGCUUGAGAGGAUCUGCAGAGAAGAAUGGGAGAAACUCCCCAACACAGCACAGUGUUGAAGAAGGUGAGACAGCACCUCUUCCCCCUCAAGAGGUUGAAAAGAUAUGGCAUGGCCCUUCAGAUCCUCAAACAGUUC